UACGUAGGGGGCAAGCGUUGUCCGGAUUUAUUGGGCGUAAAGAGCGUGUAGGCGGCCAGGUAGGUCUGCUGUGAAAACUCGAGGCUUAACCUCGAGCUGUCGGCGGAAACCAUCUGGCUAGAGUCCGGAAGAGGAGAAUGGAAUUCCCGGUGUAGCGGUGAAAUGCGCAGAUAUCGAGAGGAACACCUGCGGCGAAGGCGGGUUGCUGGGCUGACACUGACGCUGAGGCGCGAAAGCUAGGGGAGCGAACGGG
Molecule: ribosomal RNA, 253 nt
Filed under: uncultured bacterium
Lineage: Bacteria
Description: partial 16S ribosomal RNA
Rfam family: Bacterial small subunit ribosomal RNA
Source: RNAcentral